Molecule: ribosomal RNA, 253 nt
Filed under: uncultured bacterium
Lineage: Bacteria
Description: partial 16S ribosomal RNA
Rfam family: Bacterial small subunit ribosomal RNA
Source: RNAcentral
UACGUAGGGUGCAAGCGUUAUUCGGAAUCACUGGGCGUAAAGGGCGCGCAGGCGGUUUUGUAAGUCUAAAGUGAAAUCCUUGGGCUUAACCCAAGGGCUGCUUUAGAUACAGCAAAACUCGAGUUCUGGAAAAGCAAACGGAAUUCCUGGUGAAGGGGUGAAAUCCGUAGAUAUCAGGAAGAACACCAGUGGCGAAAGCGGCUUGCUAGAAGGCAACUGACGCUUAGGCGCGAAAGCGUGGGGAGCAAACAGG